CCUGAGGAUCUGGCGUCCUGCGCAGCUGACUGGAGCCGCAUCUCCUUUGGACCUGCCGGAGCUUUGGGACAACAGGGGGUUAUGUCCACGCUGACAGGAGCCCAGUCUCCUCAGGACCCAACAGGAGGUGCUGCACUGAGGGAAGGUCAUGCACAGGAUCCAAGACUCGGUGGCUACUGGUGUACUCCUCCCACAGUGCCUCUUAAUAACAAGUGGAUUCCUACAUGGGUGAUUAGCAUCACAACUCUGGCUGGCCUUGGUCUGGGUGUACGUGUCUCACUGGUGGGUUUGGCUCCUGUGGGAACUUGGCUCCUUGCGGGGCUGGUGGAGGCUGGAUCUCUUCAGGACCCACUGUGGUCUCAGCUUCAGGACAACACUUGACCAACCAAGUCUACCCAGACAGGAGCCAGACAUCUUCAAGAAUCACCAGGAGAAUAGAUAAACAAGAUUAUACUGUAUAGCACAGGGAAAUAUAUAAAAGAUCUUACGGUAUCUCAUAGAGAAAAAAAGCGACAAUGAAUAUAUGUAUGUUCAUGUGUAACUGAAAAAUUGUGCUCCACACUGGAACUUGACACAACAUUGUAAAAUGAUUAUAAAUCAAUAAAAAAUGUUAAAAAAAAAAAAAGAAUCAUCAGGAGGCAUCGCUGUGGGAAUAAAAGGUGAGGAAAAAGUGGGGAGAGGCUUCCUGUGCAUGAUUACAACUGAGGGGGUCCAUUUUCAGAGGAUCCAGCAGAAGAGGGGCUUGAGGUGGAAAAUUUUUGAAUUUACUUGAUUUUGUGUUCAGUGUUGACAGCGUCUAGUGUCAUUUUUGGGGUAAGGUGCCCCAUGUUCUUGGCACCGUUUGUUGAGGGGACUGUCCUUUUCCCACUUUGUGUUCUGGGCUCCUUCGCCAUGGACUAACUGACAGCAUGAAGACGGGUUUGUUCCUGUGCUCCCUGUUCUGCGCCUCUGGUCCAUGUGCCUGUUUCUGUGCCAAUAUCUUACUGUAUCUCUGCUGGGGACUGUGGCUUCCUAGUGUCGUGUGAAGCCAGGGAGGGAGACGCCUCCAACUGAGUUCUCCCUUCUCAAGGUUACUCAGGCUAUUCCAGGUUCUUUUUUGUUCCAUACAAAUGGUAGGAUUUCUUGUUUU
Long non-coding RNA from Camelus dromedarius (Arabian camel), 1129 nucleotides. RefSeq lists it as uncharacterized. The transcript is spliced from 3 exons. NCBI's taxonomy places the organism in Eukaryota, Metazoa, Chordata, Mammalia, Artiodactyla, Camelidae. The record is from RefSeq and is a predicted model, not a curated record.